This 253-nucleotide ribosomal RNA is filed under the name uncultured bacterium. RNAcentral describes it as "partial 16S ribosomal RNA". It matches the Rfam family "Bacterial small subunit ribosomal RNA", at positions 524 to 776 of the family's 1533-position model. The record is from RNAcentral.
UACGUAGGGUGCAAGCGUUGUCCGGAAUUAUUGGGCGUAAAGAGCUCGUAGGCGGUUUGUCGCGUCUGCUGUGAAAUCCGGAGGCUCAACCUCCGGCCUGCAGUGGGUACGGGCAGACUAGAGUGCGGUAGGGGAGAUUGGAAUUCCUGGUGUAGCGGUGGAAUGCGCAGAUAUCAGGAGGAACACCGAUGGCGAAGGCAGAUCUCUGGGCCGUAACUGACGCUGAGGAGCGAAAGCAUGGGGAGCGAACAGG